This 24-nucleotide small nuclear RNA is filed under the name Arabidopsis thaliana (thale cress). RNAcentral describes it as "snRNA_02613". The record is from RNAcentral. Lineage: Eukaryota; Viridiplantae; Streptophyta; Magnoliopsida; Brassicales; Brassicaceae.
AAUCUUUAACCAAGAGCGGAAACA